AGGAGUACGGAGGCCUUCGUGCUCCUAAGCUGUUUUCGAUGAUGGAGCUUCCGAAUCGACGAUCGGCUCCGUUAGAUUUGAUCUAGCGUAUUUGAAGUAUCUAGAAAAUAAAUUUUAUGAUUUUUUGAUAUCAUUUACCUAGCGAUCGAAAGGGUUCAAAAUCAACGGCUGAAAUUAAAAAUAUCACAAAAAGCGGUGAUAUAGCACUAAAAUUUUCAAUCUGAGAUAUUGAUCUUGCUGUAAAUAGUAUAAAGAAUUUUCUAUCAAAAUUCCAUCUGAUUUGAAUAUUUCUACACCGUUAAACUUGCAAACGGUAUACAUCAACCAUUAAAAUUUGUUGAUUUUAAACCUUUUCGAUCACUAGGUAAAUGAUAUCGAAAAAUCGCAAAAUUUAUUUUCUAGAUAUUUCAAAAUACUAGAUUAAGUCUAAUGGAGCCGAUCGUCGAUUCGAAAACUCUAUCAUCGAAAACGACUUAGGAGCACGAAAGCCUCCGUGCUCCUAAUAGCACACAAGACCUACUCUCUCUCUCUCUCUCUCUCUCUCUCUCUCUACAUAUAUAUAUAUAUAUAUAUAUAUAUAUAUAUAUAUAUAUAUAAC
This 598-nucleotide long non-coding RNA is filed under the name Ananas comosus (pineapple). RNAcentral's name for it is "long non-coding RNA (ACOM_LNC023396)". The record is from RNAcentral. Lineage: Eukaryota; Viridiplantae; Streptophyta; Magnoliopsida; Poales; Bromeliaceae.